GGGGAAGUGCUGUGUGUGUGUAUAUAUAUAUUAUGUAUAUCUGCCUUAUUUAGUCUGUAGGAGUGAAGCCAACUACACUUCACCAACUUUCUGUUCAACUGCUCGUAGCACAAAUUUUAUCGUUAUCCUCGAAGAAGACAUCCCGGGAGCACAAGCAAUGAUCAGAAGCUACCUUAAAAAUUCCAUUGUAAUUAAUCAAGUAAAAAGCAUGUAAUAUAAGGUUGUCAUAAUGAUUGGUUCC
RNAcentral lists this long non-coding RNA (241 nucleotides) under Carica papaya (papaya). Its description in RNAcentral is "long non-coding RNA (CPAP_LNC004864)". The record is from RNAcentral. Lineage: Eukaryota; Viridiplantae; Streptophyta; Magnoliopsida; Brassicales; Caricaceae.